UGAGACGAUGCAAGAGUAGGAGAUAGAGAUGGGAGCUAUAUCCAUGCAACAAUGGCGGCUGAGAGAGAUGAAACAAGCGGCGGCGAUGUGCAAGGAACGUCCUGCAACAAUGGCGGCCGGUGCCCAGAAGUCGCCGGGCCAAGGCGUUUUGGUCCAGCUCAAUAUAGGAACGGUAAUGGGACGUGAUAACCAGCCAGGGGGCGGUAGGAUUGUCAGGACAAGUGAAAUUAAUGAGGGAGAUGACUGCUGUGACCGGGCUUCUGGAAAUGCAAAUUUGAUGAUGCUACAUAUAGUCUGAAUUCAGAGAAGUUUGGUUCUACCAACAAUUGUAGCCAACAAGUAUCUUCUUCAGCAGAUUGGUGAUGCUUCAGUAGGAAUUUCUAGAAUACCAGAUAGUCACAUAAUGAAUCACAGAGGGUGAUUAUGAUGCAGAGACAUUUGUGAUCGGCAACAAACAUGUGCAUAAAGCUUUCAUGGAGAUAGCUGACCACAUGAAAUUGAAGGAAACUAGUAAUGCGAAUGGGUACAAAGUCAAACAAAUGCAAGUGGCACAGAAUAUAGCAAUGGUUCUGAUAUUAAUGGUGAAACAAGAGGCAACCUGUUUGGGACAGCCGGGUCUAGUGCAGGUUUAAGUGAUUCUGAGUUCUUGAGUUUGAGUGCACCAGAUGUGAAAGUAAGGCAUCGCAGGCCAUGGAUCAAAUGCUACAGGAUACACAUUGAGAUGAUUAAAAGAGAAGAUGAUGAAAAAAUCAAGAAAGAAAGCGAGGAAGACAGUGAAGAUGCACCACUUGUGGUCUUGACGACCACAAAAAACCUCAGAACAUUCAGCGAAAGUGUUGUUAUGGCUGCUAUUUGAGGUGUAAUUUCAGCAGCAAUUCGACAUAGGGGUUUAGCUGAUUAUGAGUGGUUAUUUUAAAAUGGUAGAUGAGUAUUUUGGCAUUAUUGCAGAUUCAAUUGCCUUGCAUCAAUAUUCAGUAAGGCAUUUACAAACCUUUGUAAAACAACUGUCUAGAUGUAAGGGUAUCAAGAACCAUAUUCUGUUUUGGUACAAGUCUUAGUUGCAACUGUUUUAGUGCUGAUGGUAAAGCUGCCCUAAGAAAAUGUUUUUGUGAUUAUCUA
Long non-coding RNA from Panicum virgatum (switchgrass), 1119 nucleotides. RefSeq lists it as uncharacterized. The record is from RefSeq and is a predicted model, not a curated record. NCBI's taxonomy places the organism in Eukaryota, Viridiplantae, Streptophyta, Magnoliopsida, Poales, Poaceae. The transcript is spliced from 3 exons.